Molecule: small nuclear RNA, 196 nt
Filed under: Setaria italica (foxtail millet)
Lineage: Eukaryota; Viridiplantae; Streptophyta; Magnoliopsida; Poales; Poaceae
Description: snRNA U2
Rfam family: U2 spliceosomal RNA
About the family: U2 is a small nuclear RNA (snRNA) component of the spliceosome (involved in pre-mRNA splicing).
Source: Rfam by way of RNAcentral
AUACCUUUCUCGGCCUUUUGGCUAAGAUCAAGUGUAGUAUCUGUUCUUAUCAGUUUAAUAUCUGAUAUGUGGAUCAAGUACCCACAAUGAUAUUAAAUUUAUUUUUUGUGGGGGAGAACUAAUAAUAAUGGCUUGCCAUUAGGUUUUCAAGUGUCGCCUGAGCGUUGCACUGCUGCUUAGGCCUGGCACACCCCAA